Molecule: ribosomal RNA, 497 nt
Filed under: uncultured bacterium
Lineage: Bacteria
Description: partial 16S ribosomal RNA
Rfam family: Bacterial small subunit ribosomal RNA
Source: RNAcentral
GAUGAACGCUGGCGGCGUGCCUAACACAUGCAAGUCGAGCGAACAGACGAUGAGCUUAUUCCUCUGACGUUAGCGGCGGACGGGUGAGUCACGCGUGGAUCACCUACCUAUAAUUCUGGGAUAACUCCGGGAAACCGGAUCUAAUACCAGAUAACAUGUUGAACCGCAUGGUUCAACAGUUAACGACGGUCUUGGUGUCACUUAUAGCUGGAUCCGCGUUGCAUUAGAUAGUUGGUAAGGUAACGGCUUACCAAGGCGACGAUGCGUAGCCGACCUGAGAGGGUGAUCGGCCACACUGGAACUGAGACACGGUCCAGACUCCUACGGGAGGCAGCAGUAGGGAAUAUUGCGCAAUGGGCGCAAGCCUGACCGAGCAACGCCGCGUGAGUGAAGAAGGCCUUCGGAUCGUAAAGCCCUUUUGUUGGGGAAGAACAACUGUGGAAGGAAACAAGGCCGUCGUGACGGUACCCAAUCAAGAAGCACCGGCUAACUACGUG